Molecule: ribosomal RNA, 252 nt
Filed under: uncultured bacterium
Lineage: Bacteria
Description: partial 16S ribosomal RNA
Rfam family: Bacterial small subunit ribosomal RNA
Source: RNAcentral
UACAGAGGGUGCGAGCGUUAAUCGGAAUUACUGGGCGUAAGCGCGCGUAGGCGGCUUUGCAAGUCGGGUGUGAAAUCCCCAGGCUUAACCUGGGAACUGCAUUCGAGACUGCAUUGCUAGAGUAUGGGAGAGGGAAGUGGAAUUUCCGGUGUAGCGGUGAAAUGCGUAGAUAUCGGAAGGAACAUCAGUGGCGAAAGCGACUUCCUGGACCAAUACUGACGCUCAUGUGCGAAAGCGUGGGGAGCAAACAGG